RNAcentral lists this non-coding RNA (24 nucleotides) under Arabidopsis thaliana (thale cress). Lineage: Eukaryota; Viridiplantae; Streptophyta; Magnoliopsida; Brassicales; Brassicaceae. The record is from RNAcentral.
GCAAAACUAAAUAGUGCAUGUAGG